This 405-nucleotide ribosomal RNA is filed under the name uncultured bacterium. RNAcentral's name for it is "partial 16S ribosomal RNA". It matches the Rfam family "Bacterial small subunit ribosomal RNA", at positions 28 to 526 of the family's 1533-position model. The record is from RNAcentral.
GACGAACGCUGGCGGCGUGCUUAACACAUGCAAGUCGAGCGGAGCGGCGAACGGGUGAGUAACGCGUGAGUGACUGCCCCCCUCUCUGGGGUAACAGUUGGAAACGGCUGCUAAUACCGGAUAGUGGGGGAUGGCUCGCGUCCGAUCAGCUUGUAGUGGGGGUAGUGGCCUACCAAGGCGAGGAAGGGUCGCCGGCCUGAGAGGGGGACCGGCCACAUUGGGCGGAGAUACGGCCCAGACUCCUACGGGAGGCAGCAGUGGGGGAUAUUGCACAAUGGGCGCAAGCCUGAUGCAGCGACGCCGCGUGAGGGAUGAAGGCUUUCGGGUUGUAAACCUCUUUCGGUACAGAACGGGUAUGUGCAGAAGAAGCGCCGGCUAACUACGUGCCAGCAGCCGCGGUAAUUC